CAUAAGUGCAAUAAUGCAUGAUGCAUGUGCACUAAUAGUGUAAUCUAGGCAGUUGUAGAUUUUCAAAUGUAGCUCAAUAUGACUAAAAUAUUGGACAAUCUUGUGCCAAAGGAUUAAUUACAAGUGAAAAACCUGUAAUAAAUAUAUGAAUAUAUAAAAAAUCAUGUUUAUCAUAUAAACAGAGAAAUAUUUGAAACCCUAUCGAUGAUGAGAACCCACGUAUGGAAAGAUUUCUUUUUGUUCCGUUAGAAAAUACGUAACAUCAAUCGUUAAGCUUGUAACGAAAGUGAAAAGAGACCGUGUAUGUGUAAAUGUGUGUCACAGUCAAUGAUCGUAUCACGUCUGAUGUUACAAAGAAAGAGACAUCAAAAUAUAUACCCAAUAGAAUACAAAGAGAGUAUGUGUAUAUACACUGUAUUUCUUAAAUAUACAUUAAAAACACUUGAAGGGAUAAAUCUGCACAGUAAACGAAAUAAAAAGAUGCCAUACGAACAGAUGUCCGAUAUACAUCAGUUUUCGAGUAAUGGAUGAUCAAAGAAAAUGUUCCAAGUGUAUGUUUCUUGACUCAACCAUUCUUAGAAAUGUAUUCAAAUAUUCUACAAUCUGGAAUUCCACGUUCCGGGAAGUUUUCUUGAGUAUAAUCUACGUGCUUUCAGUUCAAUCCUGUAUGCAGAACUAUACGUGAAGUGCAUGGCUGGUCAUUUCCGCUGUGCAGAUACAUCCUUUUGAAGUACUGACGUUUACGAAACAACCUGUAUACAAAAAGAUUAAGUUAGAUAAUUCCGA
RNAcentral lists this long non-coding RNA (786 nucleotides) under Polistes fuscatus (common paper wasp). Its description in RNAcentral is "uncharacterized LOC122515295". The record is from RNAcentral. Lineage: Eukaryota; Metazoa; Arthropoda; Insecta; Hymenoptera; Vespidae.